This 62-nucleotide transfer RNA is filed under the name Proknekalia peringueyi. RNAcentral describes it as "Argas peringueyi tRNA-Met". The record is from RNAcentral. Lineage: Eukaryota; Metazoa; Arthropoda; Arachnida; Ixodida; Argasidae.
UUUAAAGUAAGCUAACUUAAGCUAGUGGGCUCAUACCCCAAAUAUGAAUACUUCCUUUAAUA